UACGUAGGGUGCGAGCGUUAAUCGGAAUUACUGGGCGUAAAGCGUGCGCAGGCGGUUCGCUGUGUCCGAUGUGAAAGCCCCGGGCUUAACCUGGGAAUGGCAUUGGAAACUGGCGGGCUUGAGUGCGGCAGAGGGGGGUGGAAUUCCGCGUGUAGCAGUGAAAUGCGUAGAGAUGCGGAGGAACACCGAUGGCGAAGGCAGCCCCCUGGGCCAACACUGACGCUCAGGCACGAAAGCGUGGGGAGCAAACAGG
This 253-nucleotide ribosomal RNA is filed under the name uncultured bacterium. RNAcentral's name for it is "partial 16S ribosomal RNA". It matches the Rfam family "Bacterial small subunit ribosomal RNA", at positions 524 to 776 of the family's 1533-position model. The record is from RNAcentral.